RNAcentral lists this ribosomal RNA (484 nucleotides) under uncultured bacterium. RNAcentral's name for it is "partial 16S ribosomal RNA". It matches the Rfam family "Bacterial small subunit ribosomal RNA", at positions 30 to 507 of the family's 1533-position model. The record is from RNAcentral.
AUUGAACGCUGGCGGCAGGCCUAACACAUGCAAGUCGAGCGGAUGAAGGGAGCUUGCUCCUGGCUUCAGCGGCGGACGGGUGAGUAAUGCCUAGGAAUCUGCCUGGUAGUGGGGGAUAACGUCCGGACACGGGCGCUAAUACCGCAUACGUCCUGAGGGAGAAAGUGGGGGAUCUUCGGACCUCACGCUAUCAGAUGAGCCUAGGUCGGAUUAGCUAGUUGGUGGGGUAAAGGCCUACCAAGGCGACGAUCCGUAACUGGUCUGAGAGGAUGAUCAGUCACACUGGAACUGAGACACGGUCCAGACUCCUACGGGAGGCAGCAGUGGGGAAUAUUGGACAAAGGGCGAAAGCCUGAUCCAGCCAUGCCGCGUGUGUGAAGAAGGUCUUCGGAUUGUAAAGCACUUUAAGUUGGGAGGAAGAGCAGUAAGUUAAUACCUUGCUGUUUUGACGUUACCAACAGAAUAAGCACCGGCUAACUUCGUG